AGAGUUUGAUCAUGGCUCAGAUUGAACGCUGGCGGAAUGCUUUACACAUGCAAGUCGAGCGGCAGCGGGGGCAACCCUGGCGGCGAGCGGCGAACGGGUGAGUAACACAUCGGAACGUGUCCUUAAGUGGGGGAUAGCUCGGCGAAAGCCGGAUUAAUACCGCAUAAGCUCUGAGGAGGAAAGCGGGGGACCGUCUAGAAACUGGAGACUGGGAACUGGACUAAUGAGGUGCGGCUUGGGGGCGCCUGAUUAGGCUGGUGUCUAAAGAAGUUUGGUAGGGUCUAGUUUCUAGACGGCCUCGCGCUGUUGGAGCGGCCGAUGUCGGAUUAGCUAGUUGGUGGGGUAAAGGCCCACCAAGGCGACGAUCCGUAGCUGGUCUGAGAGGAUGAUCAGCCACACUGGAACUGAGACACGGUCCAGACUCCUACGGGAGGCAGCAGUGGGGAAUUUUGGACAAUGGGGGCAACCCUGAUCCAGCCAUUCCGCGUGAGUGAAGAAGGCCUUCGGGUUGUAAAGCUCUUUCGGACGGAACGAAAUGGUUACGGACAAUACCCGUGACUGAUGACGGUACUGUAAGAAGAAGCACCGGCUAACUACGUGCCAGCAGCCGCGGUAAUACGUAGGGUGCGAGCGUUAAUCGGAAUUACUGGGCGUAAAGCGUGCGCAGGCGGCGGCUCAAGUCAGGUGUGAAAUCCCCGGGCUUAACCUGGGAAUUGCGCUUGAAACUAGGCUGCUAGAGUGUGGCAGAGGGGGGUGGAAUUCCACGUGUAGCAGUGAAAUGCGUAGAGAUGUGGAGGAACACCGAUGGCGAAGGCAGCCCCCUGGGUCAACACUGACGCUCAGGCACGAAAGCGUGGGGAGCAAACAGGAUUAGAUACCCUCGUAGUCC
RNAcentral lists this ribosomal RNA (889 nucleotides) under uncultured bacterium. RNAcentral's name for it is "bacterial SSU rRNA". It matches the Rfam family "Bacterial small subunit ribosomal RNA", at positions 8 to 796 of the family's 1533-position model. The record is from RNAcentral.